AGAAUCAACGCUGGCGGCGUGCCUAACACAUGCAAGUCGAACGAGAAAGUGGAGCAAUCCAUGAGUAAAGUGGCGACCGGGUGAGUAACACGUGACCAACCUACCUUCGAGUGGGGGAUAACUCCGGGAAACCGGGGCUAAUACCGCAUAACAUCCUUGGAAUGCAAAUUCCGUUGAUCAAAGGAGCAAUUCGCUUGAAGAGGGGGUCGCGGCUGAUUAGCUAGUUGGCGGGUAAUGGCCCACCAAGGCAAAGAUCGGUAGCCGGCCUGAGAGGGCGCACGGCCACACCUGGAACUGAAACACGGUCCAGACUCCUACGGAGGCAGCAGUGGGGAAUUUUGCGCAAUGGGGGAAACCCUGACGCAGCAACGCCGCGUGGAGGAUGGAAGUCCCUUGGGACGUAAACUCCUUUCGACCGGGACGACUUAUGACGGUACCGGUGGAACGAAGCCCCGGCUAACUUCGUGCCAGCAGCCGC
RNAcentral lists this ribosomal RNA (478 nucleotides) under uncultured bacterium. Its description in RNAcentral is "SSU rRNA". It matches the Rfam family "Bacterial small subunit ribosomal RNA", at positions 26 to 518 of the family's 1533-position model. The record is from RNAcentral.